GUCGUCAGCUCGUGCCGUGAGGUGUUGGGUUAAGUCCCGCAACGAGCGCAACCCUCGUCGUUAGUUGUAUUUCUCUAGCGAGACCGCUGCGUACAACGCAGAGGAAGGUGGGGACGAUGUCAAGUCAGCGUGGCCCUUACGCCCAGGGCGACACACACGCUACAAUGGCCGGUACAACGGGCAGCCACUGCGCGAGCAGGAGCGAAUCCCUCAAAACCGGCCUCAGUUCGGAUAGCAGGCUGAAACUCGCCUGCUUGAAGCCGGAGUUGCUAGUAACCGCAGGUCAGCCAUACUGCGGUGAAUACGUUCUCGGGCCUUGUACACACCGCCCGUCACGUCAUGGGAGUGAGUAACACUUGAAGUCGGUGCGCGAACCUUCGGGACGCAGCCGCCGAAAGUGGGACUCGCGACUGGGACGAAGUCGUAACAAGGUAGCCGUAGCGGAAGCUGCGGCUGGAUCACCUCCUUUCUAGGGAG
This 477-nucleotide ribosomal RNA is filed under the name Chloroflexota bacterium. RNAcentral describes it as "bacterial SSU rRNA". It matches the Rfam family "Bacterial small subunit ribosomal RNA", at positions 1051 to 1533 of the family's 1533-position model. Lineage: Bacteria; Bacillati; Chloroflexota. The record is from RNAcentral.